This 559-nucleotide ribosomal RNA is filed under the name uncultured bacterium. RNAcentral describes it as "bacterial SSU rRNA". It matches the Rfam family "Bacterial small subunit ribosomal RNA", at positions 340 to 916 of the family's 1533-position model. The record is from RNAcentral.
UACGGGAGGCAGCAGUGGGGGAUAUUGCACAAUGGGGGAAACCCUGAUGCAGCGACGCCGCGUGGAGGAAGAAGGUUUUCGGAUUGUAAACUCCUGUCGUUAGGGACGAUAAUGACGGUACCUAACUAGAAAGCNCCGGCUAACUACGUGCCAGCAGCCGCGGUAAAACGUAGGGUGCAAGCGUUGUCCGGAAUUACUGGGUGUAAAGGGAGCGCAGGCGGGAAGACAAGUUGGAAGUGAAAACCAUGGGCUCAACCCAUGAAUUGCUUUCAAAACUGUUUUUCUUGAGUAGUGCAGAGGUAGAUGGAAUUCCCGGUGUAGCGGUGGAAUGCGUAGAUAUCGGGAGGAACACCAGUGGCGAAGGCGGUCUACUGGGCACCAACUGACGCUGAGGCUCGAAAGCAUGGGUAGCAAACAGGAUUAGAUACCCUGGUAGUCCAUGCCGUAAACGAUGAUUACUAGGUGUUGGGGGAUUGACCCCCUCUNUGCCNCNGUUAACACAAUAAGUAAUCCACCUGGGGAGUACGACCGCCAGGUUGAAACUCAUAGGAAUUGACGG